Molecule: long non-coding RNA, 641 nt
Organism: Notothenia coriiceps (black rockcod)
Lineage: Eukaryota; Metazoa; Chordata; Actinopteri; Perciformes; Nototheniidae
Exons: 3
Source: RefSeq, a predicted model, not a curated record
AUCUAUCAUUCUUCCAUAAACUAUAUAUCGUAAACUGACAAUGCGAAGCCACAUAAGUAUUCAGAUUUUUAACAGAUAUAAAGGAUUUAACGGAGUGAACAAGGUAUUCUGUUUUGUUUCCUGUCGUGUUUUUAGUUUCUAGAUUAAUGAGCAGUUACUUCCUGUAAUGCAGCUGAGAGCUGUGGCAGUCAGUCGUAGUGUUUGCAGAGAAGAUAUGAUGGGAUGUAAAGCCUGAGAUCAGGACUCUGAAUCUGACUCAAAGAACAAACACUUAUUUUUUAAAACUGGAUCUAAAACUGUUGGGUUGUGUUCAUCCCUACAGGAUCAAUGGAGAGAUGAUCAGAGCCAAGAUCCAGAAGACCUGUGACUCUGAUGUGGAACAGGAAGUGAAGACCGACAGAAAGGCUCCAGUUUCCUUCUCACCUGAACGCACAUCUGAAUCUUCAUACAGGUAAUCCUAUAAUCUGUUCCUACUACUCUUUUAUGUAAGUAUUUAUAUAAUCAUAUUUAUAUGAUGUCAUGCCUUUUACCGUGAGGUAUUGCCUCCAAUCUCUUUCCAGCAGACAUAUAUAAUAUAAUGCCUCUAUGUGUAAGAUGGUAUACAGCAGUGGUUCUCAACAUUUUCCAGUCUCAACCCCUCA